ACGUGAUCUGAGUUCAGACCGGAGUAAUCCAGGUCAGUUUCUAUCUAUAAAGAGCUUUUUCUAGUACGAAAGGACCAAAAAAGCAUGGCCUAUGUGAAACACACGCCAUUAAUGGUAAUUUAUGAUUUAGACUUAAUUUAAUCUCAUUCUAUAUUUUGUCUCUAAAAUAGAGAA
RNAcentral lists this ribosomal RNA (174 nucleotides) under Isthmohyla picadoi. RNAcentral describes it as "partial 16S ribosomal RNA". Lineage: Eukaryota; Metazoa; Chordata; Amphibia; Anura; Hylidae. The record is from RNAcentral.